Molecule: long non-coding RNA, 440 nt
Filed under: Equus caballus (horse)
Lineage: Eukaryota; Metazoa; Chordata; Mammalia; Perissodactyla; Equidae
Description: lncRNA (ENSECAG00000044917.1)
Source: RNAcentral
AUGUGAUCCUGUGCAUAAUCAUCUUUGUGAAAGUUUCAGGACAUUAUUGCUACAGUGUCAGGAGUUUCCCAGGCAGGACUGGCAUCCCUCUGAAGUUAUGCUAAGGUCUUAGAAAAUCUGAGAAGCUGCAAUUGCUUGGAAGGUAGGUCUACAUGGUGCUCUGAAGGCUAUUUCUGCCCAAUCCUGCUUCCUCCUGCUUUCAUCUUUCACAGGAAAUCAGGACAAAGAUACACAGAGAAGAAAGGCCAUGGAAAGGCUCAUGGAGAAAAUGGCCACCUACAAGCCAAGAAGAAAGCCUCAGAAGGAACCAACAAUGAUGACACUUUGAUCUUGGACUUCCGGCCUCCAGAAUGAUGAGAAAAUAAAUUCCCGUUGUUAAAGCCACCCAGCCCGUGGUACCUUGAGGCUGAAAAUGCAGGCAAGGACCUGAUGAAGGAGAU